RNAcentral lists this ribosomal RNA (395 nucleotides) under uncultured bacterium. RNAcentral describes it as "partial 16S ribosomal RNA". It matches the Rfam family "Bacterial small subunit ribosomal RNA", at positions 523 to 918 of the family's 1533-position model. The record is from RNAcentral.
AUACGUAGGGUGCAAGCGUUAAUCGGAAUUACUGGGCGUAAAGCGUGCGCAGGCGGUUUUGUAAGACAGGGGUGAAAACCCCGGGCUCAACCUGGGAACUGCCAUUGUGACUGCAAGGCUGGAGUGCGGCCGAGGGGGAUGGAAUUCCGCGUGUAGCAGGGAAAAGCGUAGAUAUGGGGAGGAACACCGAUGGCGAAGGCAAUCCCCUGGGCCUGCACUGACGCUCAUGCACGAAAGCGUGGGGAGCAAACAGGAUUAGAUACCCUGGUAGUCCACGCCCUAAACAAUGUCAACUGGUUGUUGGGGAUUUAUUUUCUCAGUAACGAAGCUAACGCGUGAAGUUGACCGCCUGGGGAGUACGGCCGCAAGGUUAAAACUCAAAGGAAUUGACGGGG